AACGCAGUAGCUCAGUUGGUCAGAGCGUGGCAGUCUUGUGUCAAGGGCGUGGGUUCAAUUCCCACCUAUGUUC
Molecule: transfer RNA, 73 nt
Organism: Phlebiopsis gigantea 11061_1 CR5-6
Lineage: Eukaryota; Fungi; Basidiomycota; Agaricomycetes; Polyporales; Phanerochaetaceae
Rfam family: tRNA
About the family: Transfer RNA (tRNA) molecules are approximately 80 nucleotides in length. Their secondary structure includes four short double-helical elements and three loops (D, anti-codon, and T loops).
Source: Rfam